AGGGAGGCGUAGGCGGCUGAUUAAGUCAGCGGUGAAAGGUAGCAGCUUAACUGUUUUACAUGCCGUUGAUACUGGUUAGCUUGAGUUGACAGAAGGCAGAUAGAAUUCCUGAUGUAGCGGUGAAAUGCUUAGAUAUCAGGAGGAAUACCGAUUGCGAAGGCAGUCUGCUGCAGUCACACUGACGCUGAGGCUCGAAGGUGCGGGGAUCAAACAGGAUUAGAUACCCCUGU
Molecule: ribosomal RNA, 230 nt
Filed under: uncultured bacterium
Lineage: Bacteria
Description: partial 16S ribosomal RNA
Rfam family: Bacterial small subunit ribosomal RNA
Source: RNAcentral